Molecule: non-coding RNA, 78 nt
Organism: Cordylochernes scorpioides
Lineage: Eukaryota; Metazoa; Arthropoda; Arachnida; Pseudoscorpiones; Chernetidae
Source: the annotation of a GenBank genome assembly
AAAGUGUCCAGGGAUGGGAAUCGAACCCACAGUGUUCCGCUUACUGGGCAGAUGCCAUGUCCACUAAGCUAGACACCC